AUUGAACGCUGGCGGCAGGCUUAACACAUGCAAGUCGAGCGGGGGAAGGUAGCUUGCUACCGGACCUAGCGGCGGACGGGUGAGUAAUGCUUAGGAAUCUGCCUAUUAGUGGGGGACAACAUCUCGAAAGGGAUGCUAAUACCGCAUACGUCCUACGGGAGAAAGCAGGGGAUCUUCGGACCUUGCGCUAAUAGAUGAGCCUAAGUCGGAUUAGCUAGUUGGUGGGGUAAAGGCCUACCAAGGCGACGAUCUGUAGCGGGUCUGAGAGGAUGAUCCGCCACACUGGGACUGAGACACGGCCCAGACUCCUACGGGAGGCAGCAGUGGGGAAUAUUGGACAAUGGGGGGAACCCUGAUCCAGCCAUGCCGCGUGUGUGAAGAAGGCCUUAUGGUUGUAAAGCACUUUAAGCGAGGAGGAGGCUACUUUAGUUAAUACCUAGAGAUAGUGGACGUUACUCGCAGAAUAAGCACCGGCUAACUCUGUGCCAGCAGCCGCGGUAAUACAGAGGGUGCGAGCGUUAAUCGGAUUUACUGGGCGUAAAGCGUGCGUAGGCGGCUUAUUAAGUCGGAUGUGAAAUCCCCGAGCUUAACUUGGGAAUUGCAUUCGAUACUGGUGAGCUAGAGUAUGGGAGAGGAUGGUAGAAUUCCAGGUGUAGCGGUGAAAUGCGUAGAGAUCUGGAGGAAUACCGAUGGCGAAAGCAGCCAUCUGGCCUAAUACUGACGCUGAGGUACGAAAGCAUGGGGAGCA
RNAcentral lists this ribosomal RNA (748 nucleotides) under Acinetobacter baumannii OIFC137. Its description in RNAcentral is "bacterial SSU rRNA". It matches the Rfam family "Bacterial small subunit ribosomal RNA", at positions 28 to 770 of the family's 1533-position model. Lineage: Bacteria; Pseudomonadati; Pseudomonadota; Gammaproteobacteria; Moraxellales; Moraxellaceae. The record is from RNAcentral.